UACGUAGGUGGCGAGCGUUGUCCGGAUUUACUGGGCGUAAAGAGCGCGCAGGCGGUCGUGCAAGUCGCGUGUGAAGGCCCCCGGCUCAACUGGGGAGGGUCACGCGAUACUGCUCGACUCGAAGGCAGGAGAGGGAAGUGGAAUUCCCGGUGUAGUGGUGAAAUGCGUAGAUAUCGGGAGGAACACCAGUGGCGAAGGCGACUUCCUGGCCUGUUCUUGACGCUGAGGCGCGAAAGCUAGGGGAGCAAACGGG
Molecule: ribosomal RNA, 253 nt
Filed under: uncultured bacterium
Lineage: Bacteria
Description: partial 16S ribosomal RNA
Rfam family: Bacterial small subunit ribosomal RNA
Source: RNAcentral